This is a long non-coding RNA of Branchiostoma floridae (Florida lancelet), 485 nucleotides long. RefSeq lists it as uncharacterized. The transcript is spliced from 3 exons. The record is from RefSeq and is a predicted model, not a curated record. Lineage: Eukaryota; Metazoa; Chordata; Leptocardii; Amphioxiformes; Branchiostomatidae.
CCGAUGGGACAGACGCAGCUCAUGAUGUUGUCGAUGACCAUACAGUUGCCGCCGUUCUCACAGGGGUUGUUCUGGCAAGGGUCUACAUCUGCUCAUGGACGUUAUAACAGGGCUUGCCGUGAUUCGGUCGCCAGGAUGACGAAUAAGCAGCUGUACUCAGUGCACACCACCCACGGGGCAACGAAAACUGUUUGGUGACAUUCUAUUAACUGAGGGGUGACCGAACAUUGCCACAAACGUAUAAUCCAGAGCAAGGAUUGUCAGAUACCACAUCGCAAUAUAGAUCUUUAUAAUAUACAACUUUAUUUUUGCUCAGCUACUAAAUAUAUAUAUACAAGAUGAGAAAAACGAAAAUGAACACUCAUCACAAUAGACCACUUAACUGGCUAUCUUAUAUGUGAAAUUUAUACACCAUGAAGGUAAAGGUGGUAUCUCAUUGCACUUUGGGCACCGGUGCGGCACUGCAGGGUUCGUUUACUGCGGCA